Molecule: RNase P RNA, 339 nt
Filed under: Clostridiales bacterium
Lineage: Bacteria; Bacillati; Bacillota; Clostridia; Eubacteriales
Description: RNase P RNA component class A
Rfam family: Bacterial RNase P class A
About the family: Ribonuclease P (RNase P) is a ubiquitous endoribonuclease, found in archaea, bacteria and eukarya as well as chloroplasts and mitochondria. Its best characterised activity is the generation of mature 5'-ends of tRNAs by cleaving the 5'-leader elements of precursor-tRNAs. Cellular RNase Ps are ribonucleoproteins.
Source: RNAcentral
CGAGCAGACCGGACAGCUGCGAACAGUGUUUACUGUUUGAGGAAAGUCCGAGCUUCACAGGGCAGGAUAGCGGCUAACGGCCGCCGAGGGUGACCUCAGGGAAAGUGCAACAGAAAUAUACCGCCGGCAUUUUUGCCGGUAAGGGUGGAAAGGUGAGGUAAGAGCUCACCGGCUGUACGGGUGACCAUACAGCCCUGCAAACCCUAUCCGAAGCAACACUGACUAAAGCGAUACGCUGGCCCGGCGUGCUUUGAAAAGUGGCAUGAGCCGUAGGAGCAAUCCUCGGCCUAGAUAGAUAGUUGUCCAAGACAGAACUCGGCUUAUAGGUCUGGUCGCAUU